Molecule: non-coding RNA, 111 nt
Organism: Acanthosepion pharaonis
Lineage: Eukaryota; Metazoa; Mollusca; Cephalopoda; Sepiida; Sepiidae
Source: the annotation of a GenBank genome assembly
UACAACCAUAUCAUGUUGAAACACCGGUUCUCAUACAAUCACCAUAGUUAAGCAACGUCGAGCCUGUCAGUACCUGAAUGGGUGACCACUAGGGAAUACCAGGUGCAGUAA